GAAAAUCUCAGCUAGCCAAUCAAUAUUGUCGCUCUCAACUAGUGGCCAUAGCUACUGACAUCUUGACCAACAAAAUGAAGGUGCCGAUCACUAGUAUGACAUGUGAACAAACAAAACAGCUCAACCCCUGUUGUCCUCGUCUCUAUCCUUCCGUUGUUCUUAUUGUCUCUCUCCCUGUUGUUCAUAGCUAUGGAUGCAGAGAUCCAGGUAGCAGCACGUAGAGGAUGGAGCAGGGGCUACAUGCAUGCAGAUGCAGCGGUCGGAGCUCCUCCGGAGCAGGCCAACUCUUGGAGGGCAGCAAGUCCAUCAACGACGACAGCGGUUCAGUUGGAUGGCGGAGUUACAAGCCCCGUUUGUAUCCGCUUAUAAGCGGUUUAUUGGUGGAAAUAAGCGAGAAUCCCGCCAAACGCUUUGCUUAUUUCCACCGAUUCUCGCUUAUGUGGUAAGCCGCUUCAACGAUUUGAACUACGAGAAACGAGAAGCGAGAAAAUCUUCGCUUAGAUUAUAAUCCAAGCGUGGCUAGGAAAAGCGUAUACAAACAGGGCCACAGAGCCACAGAGGUGGCUGCCAGGUUUUUUAUUGG
RNAcentral lists this long non-coding RNA (583 nucleotides) under Setaria italica (foxtail millet). RNAcentral's name for it is "long non-coding RNA (SITA_LNC004636)". The record is from RNAcentral. Lineage: Eukaryota; Viridiplantae; Streptophyta; Magnoliopsida; Poales; Poaceae.